GAGUUUGAUCCUGGCUCAGAGUGAACGCUGGCGGCAGGCCUAACACAUGCAAGUCGAGCGGCAGCGCGGGGGCAACCCUGGCGGCGAGCGGCGGACGGGUGAGGAAUGCAUCGGAAUCUACCUCGUUGUGGGGGAGUAACCUCGGGAAACCGGGACUAAUACCGCAUACGACCUACGGGUGAAAGUGGGGGACCGCAAGGCCUCACGCGAUGAGAUGAGCCGAUGCCGGAUUAGCUAGCUGGCGGGGUAAAGGCCCACCAAGGCGACGAUCCGUAGCUGGUCUGAGAGGAUGAUCAGCCACACUGGAACUGAGACACGGUCCAGACUCCUACGGGAGGCAGCAGUGGGGAAUAUUGGACAAUGGGCGCAAGCCUGAUCCAGCCAUGCCGCGUGUGUGAAGAAGGCCUUCGGUUGUAAG
This 418-nucleotide ribosomal RNA is filed under the name uncultured Gammaproteobacteria bacterium. RNAcentral's name for it is "bacterial SSU rRNA". It matches the Rfam family "Bacterial small subunit ribosomal RNA", at positions 9 to 429 of the family's 1533-position model. Lineage: Bacteria; Pseudomonadati; Pseudomonadota; Gammaproteobacteria. The record is from RNAcentral.